ACACCCCACCCCUGCCCUCCUCUUUCUCUCUCCCUUCCCCUCCAUUUUCAGCCAAACCUUAUUCUUCCUUUAGCCACGGACAGAUUUGCCUGUCCCAUUUUUUGCACUAUUUGUCUUUCCCUUCUGCUCACCUACGUGGUUCUGUCGUUUGAAAGGGAGGGCUUUCCCAUUUUCGCUUCAAAACGCAAAUAAUCCUCAAGACCAGAGAAAAUCGGUCCAUUUUGAGCAAAAUCUGACUAGAUCACGUGAAAUGUCUACAAGUUCGUCCAAAUUUUCAAACGGACAUUUUUUGGAUUCAAGAUUCAAACUUGACGCUCUAAAAAUCCCGCCCCAUUUUUGAACCCCCGAAAACUCUAACAACCUCCUAUAAAUAAUCGUCUUCGGGAAGUGUUAGAGGGGGUUGGGAGCCACACAAAAUCUCCUUAAGAAAAAGAGAGUUCAUUUCUUGAGUCAUCCAGAAACCUAGAGUCCUUUUAGCCGCAGGAGUCCCCGAAAAUUAAAGUUUGAAACCCCCUAAAACAAGAGUUCUCUAGCUGCUCAAACUCCCCUUUAAAGAUACUAGUUUUAAUUUUAUUGAUAUCGUCUAAAAAAAAAAAUACUAAGUCUGUUCUAUUUUUUCCUUGGGUAUUCGUUCGAAUCUGAGUGCUUGAGAGCUCGGAUUUUGUGUUGUGUCGAGGUAGUUCGGAGACCCUCGCACCCUGUUUGCUGCACCCGAAGAAGAAAUGGGAGACCUAACUCCAAAUCUGAAUGCUACUGCUACUGUCACACCAACUCCGGUGGUUGGCUUUACAAGCAAUGUUGCCUCCUCCAGUCGUGCUGCAGCGGCACCGGCUCCGGCAGAAAAGCCCGAAAAAUUCUCCGGGAUUGAUUUCAAACGAUGGCAACAAAAGAUGUUCUUUUAUUUAACAACUUUAAGUCUACAAAUGUUCAUUAAGGAAGAAGUUCCGGUUCAACCCGAAUCAACUCCUAAAGAUGAACGCUUCAUUGUGAUUGAGGCUUGGAAGCAAUCGAAUUUUUUUGUGUAAGAAUCAUAUACAUAGCGGACUGGAGGAUGAUCUUUACACUGACUAUAGUAAUGUGGGAACUUCGAAAGAACUAUGGGGUGCGUUGGAAAAGUAAUAUAAAACUGAGGAUGCCGAAUUAAAAAAGUUUAUUGCCACCAAGUUCCUGGACUACAAAAUGGUAGAUGGCAAGUCUGUUGUUACUCAAGUUCAAGAGUUGUAGGUUAUAUCAUCCACGAUCUCCUGACUGAAGGUUUGGUGACUAGUGGCGCCUUUCAAGUUAUGGCAGUAAUAGAGAAGUUGCCUCCUUUAUGAAAGGACUUCAAAAAUUACUUGAAACACAAACGAAAGGAGAUGACGCUCGAAGAUCUCAUCGUUCGGUUGAGAAUCGAGGAAGAUAACAAGGCGGAAGAAAAGAAGGCUAGUGGGAAAUCAGCAAUAGGGGGAGCACAAAUUGUUGAAACUCCUCCAGGGGAGCACAUAUUGUUGAAACUACUCCAACGAAUCCUAAAAAGAGGGAAAAGGCAUCAGGACCAAGGAACUAUCCCGACAAGAAGAGAUUCAAGGAAACUGCCACAAUUGUGGAAAAAUCGGACACAAAGCUGUAGAUUGUCGUGCUUCGAAGAAGGAAAAGAAAAAGGGUCAAGCUAAUAUGAGUGAAACAAAUGAGGAAGUUGAUGACUUGUGCGCUAUGUUGUCUGAGUGCAACCUCGUGAGAAAUCCUAAAGAGUGGUGGAUCGAUUCUGGCGCCACUCGCCACAUUUGUGUUGUUAGAGAAACAUUCGCUUCAUAUGCUUCUGUCGGACCCGACCAACAUAUUUUUAUGGGAUAUUGUGCAACAGCCAAGAUUGAAGGUUAUGGAAAGAUAUUUCUGAAAAUGGCUUCUGGCAAGGUGGUGACUCUCAAAAACGUUUGUCAUGUUCCUGAAAUUAGGAAAAAAUUAGUCUCGAUCGGACUUCUAGUGAAGAACAGUUUUAAGUGUGUUUAUGUUUGAGAUAAAGUUGUAGUAAGUAAGAACGAGAUGUACAUAGGAAAAGGUUACCUUGCAGAGGGCCUUUUCAAAUUGAAUGUAAUGGUCGUUGAUAAUAAUAAAAUUCCAGCUUCGUCUUACUUACUUGAGUGAAA
This is a long non-coding RNA of Lycium barbarum (goji berry), 2126 nucleotides long. RefSeq lists it as uncharacterized. The transcript is spliced from 2 exons. The record is from RefSeq and is a predicted model, not a curated record. Lineage: Eukaryota; Viridiplantae; Streptophyta; Magnoliopsida; Solanales; Solanaceae.